RNAcentral lists this long non-coding RNA (371 nucleotides) under Homo sapiens (human). RNAcentral describes it as "non-protein coding lnc-POU4F3-4:1". Lineage: Eukaryota; Metazoa; Chordata; Mammalia; Primates; Hominidae. The record is from RNAcentral.
AUCCAUUUAAGGGCAUACUCCUUAGCCUUUUGUUCAAGGCUUUCUAAUUUCUGCUUCUGGCCUACCUUUCCAGCCACACAACUCACUAGUUUUGUUGGUAUGCCUACUGUUUCACUCAUUAAUUGCUUGCCUUCAAUUUUCUAAACAAUUCCUUUUGGUUCUUUACUCUUUGCCUUAUUCAUACUUUUCUCACUGGUUUAUUUUUUUCUUCUACCCCUUCCUGCUGUUUUUCUUGUUGAAAUCUUAAUUUUUCAAGGCGCAGCAUCCCAAUAUAAACUUUUCUAUACCCUCUCACAGUUAGAAAUGUUCUUUGGGUCUUGAUUUUUACUCCUAUAUGUUUAUCCCAUUUUACUUUGUAUUCAUUUUUGUAU